CACGUAGGGUGCGAGCGUUGUCCGGAAUUACUGGGCGUAAAGCGCACGUAGGCGGCUUUGUAAGUUAGAGGUGAAAGCCCGGAGCUCAACUCCGGAACUGCCUUUAAGACUGCAUCGCUUGAAUCCAGGAGAGGUGAGUGGAAUUCCGAGUGUAGAGGUGAAAUUCGUAGAUAUUCGGAAGAACACCAGUGGCGAAGGCGGCUCACUGGACUGGUAUUGACGCUGAGGUGCGAAAGCGUGGGGAGCAAACAGG
This 253-nucleotide ribosomal RNA is filed under the name uncultured bacterium. RNAcentral describes it as "partial 16S ribosomal RNA". It matches the Rfam family "Bacterial small subunit ribosomal RNA", at positions 524 to 776 of the family's 1533-position model. The record is from RNAcentral.